Molecule: ribosomal RNA, 301 nt
Filed under: uncultured bacterium
Lineage: Bacteria
Description: partial 16S ribosomal RNA
Rfam family: Bacterial small subunit ribosomal RNA
Source: RNAcentral
CAGCCGCCACGGUAACACGAGGGGGGCAAGCGUUGUUCGGAUUUAUUGGGCGUAAAGGGUGCGUAGGCGGUUUGGCAAGUCUUGUGUGAAAUCUUCGGGCUCAACCCGAAGCCUGCACGAGAAACUGCCGGGCUUGAGUAUUGGAGAGGUGAGUGGAAUUUCCGGUGUAGCGGUGAAAUGCGUAGAUAUUGGGAAGAACACCAGUGGCGAAGGCGGCUCACUGGACCGACACUGACGCUGAGGCGCGAAAGCGUGGGGAGCAAACAGGAUUAGAUACCCGCGUAGUCCCUGUCUCUUAUAC